This 708-nucleotide ribosomal RNA is filed under the name uncultured Megasphaera sp. RNAcentral's name for it is "bacterial SSU rRNA". It matches the Rfam family "Bacterial small subunit ribosomal RNA", at positions 29 to 703 of the family's 1533-position model. Lineage: Bacteria; Bacillati; Bacillota; Negativicutes; Veillonellales; Veillonellaceae. The record is from RNAcentral.
ACGAACGCUGGCGGCGUGCUUAACACAUGCAAGUCGAACGAGAGCGUAGAGAAAGCUUGCUUUUUCUACAAUCUAGUGGCAAACGGGUGAGUAACGCGUAAACAACCUGCCCUACGGAUGGGGACAACAGCUGGAAACGGCUGCUAAUACCGAAUACGUUCCGAAAGUCGCAUGACUGUCGGAAGAAAGGAUGGCCUCUAUUUAUAAGCUAUCGCCGGAGGAGGGGUUUGCGUCUGAUUAGCUAGUUGGAGGGGUAACGGCCCACCAAGGCGACGAUCAGUAGCCGGUCUGAGAGGAUGAACGGCCACAUUGGAACUGAGACACGGUCCAGACUCCUACGGGAGGCAGCAGUGGGGAAUCUUCCGCAAUGGGCGAAAGCCUGACGGAGCAACGCCGCGUGAGUGAAGACGGCCUUCGGGUUGUAAAGCUCUGUUAUACGGGACGAAUAAUCUUGUGGUUAAUACCCAUGAGAAGUGACGGUACCGUAAGAGAAAGCCACGGCUAACUACGUGCCAGCAGCCGCGGUAAUACGUAGGUGGCAAGCGUUGUCCGGAAUUAUUGGGCGUAAAGGGCGCGCAGGCGGCUUCUUAAGUCUGUCUUAAAAGUGCGGGGCUUAACCCCGUGAUGGGAUGGAAACUGGGAAGCUCAGAGUAUCGGAGAGGAAAGCGGAAUUCCUAGUGUAGCGGUGAAAUGCGUAGAUAUUAGGAG